GGUCUGUUAGCUCAGUCGGUAGAGCAUUUGACUUUUAAUCAAAGGGUCCCGGGUUCGAAUCCCGGACAGGCCA
Molecule: transfer RNA, 73 nt
Filed under: Firmicutes bacterium CAG:822
Lineage: Bacteria; Bacillati; Bacillota
Rfam family: tRNA
About the family: Transfer RNA (tRNA) molecules are approximately 80 nucleotides in length. Their secondary structure includes four short double-helical elements and three loops (D, anti-codon, and T loops).
Source: Rfam by way of RNAcentral